GAGCAGAGGAGGAGGCGGGAGUCAGAGGAUGGGCAUCAGCGGCGGCAGCUCCUCCUCCCGUGGCCGGUCUGUGGCGCUGCCUUAGAGGCUCGGGUUGAACCUGGAGGUGGGGUAAGAGCGACAGGCUCCAUCCCGAGAGGGGGUGAAGGCGGCGGCUUCUCCUCUUCACCCCCCUACCUACCCCACCCCAGCCCAGCCCACCGCGGCCAGUGAGAGAGUCCGGGUAAGAUGCGGCUGCCGCCCGGGACUGGGAGGCCGCCAUGGAGGGGAGGAGGAGGGAGGGAGCGGCUGAAGAUGUAGGGGCAGGAGGGAGGCAGGCCGAGUCUCUCAGGAUGUCCGAGAGCGGUAGCGGUAGCGGUGGCGGGGGGGGCCUGAAGACGGUGCGGGUCUGGCGCGAGGCGGCUCGCCGCUGCCGCAAACUCCGCGGCAACUGGCGGCAGUUGAGCGCGAGCGGCCCGCGCCUCAGCCUCCCCUCGGACAUCGGGCACGUGCAGGUGCUCAACCUCGCCAACAACUCGCUGCUCGAGCUGCCCGACGGCCUCGACUCGUCGCUGUCCGAGCUGCGGGCGCUGAUCCUGCGGAGGAACCGCCUGAGGCGCCUGCCCUCCCGGCUGUGCGGCCUGCCGCUGCUCGACGAGCUCGACCUGGCGCACAACUGCCUGGCGGCGCUGCCGGCCGAGCUGGGGGCGCUGGGCCGCCUCCGCCGCCUGUGCCUCAGCCACAACAAGCUGCAGCAGCUGCCGCCCGAGAUCGGCGGCCUGUCCGCCCUCGAGGAGCUCGACGUCAGCUUCAACGAGCUGCGCCAGCUGCCGGCCAGCCUGGGCCUACUCGCCCGGCUCCGCGCCCUGGACGUCGACCACAACCGCCUGAGCCACUUCCCGCCUCAGAUCCUGCAGCUGGCCGAGCUGGAGGAGCUGGAUCUCUCCGGGAACCAGAUCCGGGCCCUGCCCCGGGACAUCCCGAGGCUGCGCUCCGUCAAGAUCCUGUGGCUGAGCAGCCUGCGCCUGUCGGCGUUGCCCGACACCUUCUGCGGCCUGGCCGCCCUCGAGAGCCUCAUGCUGGACAACAACGGCCUGCGGGCCGUGCCCGAGCGCUUCGGCGAGCUGCGCCGCCUCAAGAUGAUCAACCUGUCGUCGAACCGCCUGGAGGAGUUCCCCGGCGCGCUGCUGCAGCUCACCGGCCUCGAGGAGCUCUACCUCAGCCGCAACGAGCUGUCCGUCAUCCCGGCCGGCAUCGCCGCCUUCAGCAACCUGGCCGCCCUGUGGCUGGACAACAACAAGGUGCGCUUCCUGCCCGACUCCAUCGUGGAGCUCUCCAACCUGGAGGAGCUGGUGCUGCAGGGCAACCAGAUCGCCAUCCUGCCUGACUCCUUCGGCAGCCUCUCCAAAGUCAGCCUCUGGAAGAUCAAGGACAACCCCCUGAUCCAGCCGCCCUACGAGGUCUGCAUGAAGGGCAUCCCCUACAUCGCGGCCUACCAGAAGGAGCUGGCGCUCUCGCAGCCCGCCGUCAAACCCAGGCUCAAGCUGGUGCUGAUGGGCUCCAAAGGCGCCGGCAAGACCUCUCUCAGGCAGUGCCUGGUUGGGAACGCACCGGGUGCCCCUGCAACUCACGCCAAGGGAAUCGAGGUGACCCAGUGGGUGGCAGAUGCUGAGAAAAACCUGACCUUCAUUGUCUACGACUUGGCUGGGGACCAGAACUAUGAUCUUAUCCAGCCCUUCUUCCUCUCCCCGGGUGCACUGUACGUGCUGGUGGUCAGCCUGAGAGCCUAUGCCCCCGAUCGGUUUUACGAGCUGGUUGGCUAUUUCUUGCACUUGCUCGGUGCCAGGGUCCCUCACGGGGUCGUGUGUGUGGUAGGAGCGCAUGUGGACCAAUGCAAUGAGAAAGAGGUGGAGGAAAAGUGCCUGGACAUCCAUCAUCAGAUCGCACUGCAGGAGAAGAGAGAUGUUGAGUUCAUGCAGGCUGUGGCCGAGAAGGUGGAUGGCGCACUGGGGCAAGAGUUUGACCUGCGAGCUACAAGCCCACAUGCGCCCUUUUACGGAGUCUCUGAUAAGAAUUUGAGGAGAAAGAAGGCCCAGGUGCAGUACCUAUUGAACAACCGUCUUCAGAUCCUGUCCCCAGUUAUCACUGUCAGCUGUCAGGGGGACCAUGUUGGAAUUACUCGCUUGAAGGAAAAGCUUCUUUCUGUGGCUGAACAUAGAGAGAUUUUCCCGAAUCUGCAUAGAGUCUUACCCAAAUCCUGGCAGAGGCUGGAGGAACUGCAUUAUAAACCUCAAGAGCUCUGGCUUUCCUGGUGGGAUUCUGCCAGGUUGGGAUUACAAGCUGGUCUUACUGAGGACCGACUCCAAAGCGCCCUGUCCUAUCUGCACGAAAGUGGCAAGCUGCUGUAUUUUGAGGACAGUCUGACUCUCAAAGAGUGCGUCUUUCAUAACUUGACCAAGCUGAUUGACAUCCUGAAUGUCUUCUUCCAGCGCGAUGCCUCAGUUCUGCUCCAGAAACUCUUGGCAGAUGCCAAUAUUGAUGAGCUGAGGGCAACACAACUGCACCAUUAUGUGGAGGGAUUCCUGCUUCAUGGACUGCUCCCUCUGCACAUUAUUCGUCUGCUUCUCAAGCCGCAUAUUAAAACUCAGCAGGAUCUUCAUUUGAUUCUGGAACUACUGGAGAAGAUGGGACUCUGUUACUGCCUGAACAAACCCAAAAUUACUCCUAUAAAUGGUGUACCCAUUUGGUUUAAAUUCCCCUGUUAUGUGAAAAAUGAAGUUCCCCAUGCAGAAGCCUGGAUCAAUGGGUCCAACCUUUCUGGACAACAGUUGGCAAUCGAACAGCUCCAAGUGGAGUAUAGUUUCCCUUUUUUGUUCCCACCAGGCUUAUUUCCCAGAUAUAGUGUCCAGAUCAACUCUCAUGUUGUACACCGGUCAGAUGGCAAGUACCAGAUCUUUGCUUACAGGGGCAAGGUUCCAGUGGUGAUCAGUUACAGACCAACCCAAAGUAGCUUGCAAGCAGACACCUUAUCUAUUGCUAGUCAUGCUUCUUUGCCAAAUAUUUGGACUGCAUGGCAAGCCAUAAUUCCUCUGAUGGAAGAACUGAAUGUACUCCUCCAGGAAUGGCCGGGGUUAUACUUCACUGUGCAUGUCCUGUGCUCUAAGUGCCUUAAAAGAGGGUCUUCAAAUCCUCACACCUUUCCAGGGGAGCUACUGACCCAGUCCAGACCAGAAGGAGUAACUGAGAUCAUCUGUCCCAAAAAUGGGAGUGAGCGAGUGGAUGUGGCUUUGGUCUAUCCUCCGACCCCCACUGUGAUCAGUCCCUGCUGUAAGUGAGCAGUGGGCCAUCGGGCUAGUCUUCAACAAAAACAAAACCUUUAAAAUUCUGUUCAAUUAUUUGGCAGGCGACAAGGUUUUGGAAAGAAUAAGGUUGACACUGAGCUGAAGUUUUCGCGACCAGUUGUGGAUUGUUUAUUUGGAUAUGUGGAAGGAAAUGGCUAACUUGCAGGUGCUCUUCAACAAUGGAUUUGCAGCAGUUCCAUGAUGGGCCCACGACAUUGGAGAUGUUGUACAUGAAUGAAUUAAUAAUUGUCUGUGCACAGCAUAGAAAGAGGCUCUCCUGUCCACUGCAAGUUGUCCUUCCAUGGAUUUCAUUAUUUGAAAGCAAGCUGACCUGAUACACCCAUUCUUCCAACAAAUAGCGCAGACACAGUGUUCCACAACUUAUUUUUUGGAAUAGGUGGCUCUUCAGGGAUUUUCUUUUGCAGUGUUUUACUAAAGCCAUACUUUCAGUGUUGUCUGUUGGAAUAAAAUGCCAAAUGCAACUGUUCUGUCCUCGAGCCUGAGGCAUAGAUGGUCUAGAGCAUAUUAGCACUAAUUUUGAUUUUUGAACCUAAUGAAAGAUUUAAUUUUAAAGCUUUCAAGGAACUGUUUGUGCAAUACUCAGUGUGAUAAAAUAAUCAUACUCGCAUUGUGUUAUCUGCAUUGUCCUCCUUGUUAAUAGUUGAGCAAGGUCCCAGUUGUUCCUGAUCUGAUUCAUCAUACUUUCCACUACACGGAGGAAUGGGUUAAAGCUGCAAGGUCCCAUUGUUUCCAUUUAUUUGUUCAGGAUUAUUAGUUAAAGUGGAAUCCUGGUAAACAAGUAGCAUUUGGAAGAUGCGUUUUCUUGACAAAAUAAUGUUUUAAUCGACACACAACACCUGCAUUAUUAUUUCAUCCUAUCUGUACCCUGUUGAAGUAUGUUUUCCCUUCUCUCUGGGAGCCUCCUCAUCCCUGGGUUGCUACAUUGUAAAUUCAAGUCCUACUCUAGACCUUGAACUAAUAAUCUAGCUGACACUUCAGUAUAGCGCCAAGGGAGUAUCAUAUUCUAAAAUGUUUUUGUCUUUUAGUAUUGAGAAAAAUCCAAAAACAUUAUUUGGAGAAGUGUAGGGGAGUUAUCCUGUUGUUUUGGGCAACAUUCAUCCCUUAACGAAUAUCACCAAAGAAAAACUUCGCCUGUUAUUGUUUUGAUUGCUGUUUGUGGGAUCUUGCUGUAUGAGAACAAUUUUGUACAAAAUAGUCACUGCAUUUCAGAAAGUAUUCAAUGGAAUGAGAACCAUUUGGGGACAUUCUGAGAGCAUGAUAAGGCAGUUUAUUAGGACAAGUACUUUCUGCUGCAAAGGGCUUUUCAAAGUUAUGCACCUACAAAUCAUUUUUGUUAAAUUAACACAUCUGAAGAGAAGAAGUAAAAUCAGUGCAGCUUACAAAUAUUUUAUUUUUAUGUUGCUAAUAAAAUGACUAUUGCAAUGGAACUGAAACAUUUGCACAUCAAGUCACCUUGGAUAAAUGACACUUAUUAAAAGGAUCAGUGGAAACUUUUCUGUUUCAGUUUUAUGAUCGCUGCUACACAGGCACAGAAUGAUGUACAACAAUUGAAUGAAGUUCAUAAGUUUGCUGGUGCUGUAGAAAGUUGUUUUGAUAAACAUUGUUCUAAAUAUUUAUUCCAGGAUAUAAUGAGACUGUCAAAGCUAUAUUUGUUAUCCAUCCCUUGUUACCCUAAAGUAUCACUUUUACAACUAAAGUGUAUGUAAGGCCACUUAACAGAUCGUUGUAGUGUAUCUUAUAUAGACAGAUAAAGUAACAUUAGUGAACUGGUUGUGAUUUUACAAUAUAACAGAAGGUCAUCCUAUUGUCCUCUGAUGCCAUCCUUUGAAUCAUGGAUGUAUUAAGUUGAAUUCCAACCCCCCACCCCAAAGACCUUGUGACCAAGAGCUAAUGAAUGAACAGUCAAAGGAUCACACAGUGACAUAUUCUACUCUGAAAGUUUCACUUGGGAGUUUUGAUAUCAAUUGGAGUCCUGGGAGAAACUUAUACAGGAUUGCUGUACCUGCUGCAAUCAAUUGAAAGUGGAAUGGCCUCCUUUGAAAAAUGCAUAUCAGAUUCACAGGGAAAAGACAAUGAUGGCAAAUUCUGGUCAACAGUGGUCUCCUGUGCUAUUUGAAGCAGAAGCUUCCAGACACACAUCGGUCUCAGCAGUGACCCCAUGAAGUAGUUUCCUACCAGCUCUGGGAAAUGAACAUGGUCAUCUUCGUCUCAAAGAAGAAAGGCAGAUAUUUGAAUUUGUUUACUUUAUCUUAGACUCACCUAUACUCAGCAUCAAUAUCUCUCUGCGGUAGAGAAUUCUGAAAACCCUUCAUCUCCUCUCAGUUUUAGAUGGCCAUUCCCUAACUCAGAGACUGAGCCGGAAUGCUAAACUCCCCAGGAGAAUCACUGUUGAACCUUAAUGCGCACACUUUCUAGGGAAAAUCUGCCCUUUCUUGGGUAAGGAAACCAAACUGUACACAGUAUUCCAAAUGUGGCUGUAGCAAGGCUCCCAAAAAAAAACAAUUUCUUUCUUGUACUCCAAUUAGAUGAUAGGUUAGCAUACCAUUUGCUUUCUUAGUUUUCUGUAUUUAAGAUGUACAUGAAUCUAUAUGAUUCAUGAAUGAGAACACCCAGGUCCUUGUGAAUGCCAACAUUUCUCUGACACUCUCCACUUAAAAUGUUCUGCUUUUCUAUUUUCUGCCAGUGUGGAUACCUUCACAUUAUACUCUAUCUGCCAAGUUCUUGCACAUCCUUAAUUUAAAUCUCUUUGCAGUCCCUCUGUAUCCUUUGCACAGCUUAUUUUCUUAUUACUAUAUUUCUUCAAACUCUGUUAUGAUAUACUUUCUCCCCUUGUUUAUAUCAUUGAUCUAAAUUGAACAUUGCUGAAGCCUAAGCACUGACCGCGCCCCCCUCCCCCCCAAUCAAGCCUAUUUGUUACAUCAUCAUAAAUUCUUAACAGAGCUGUGAACCCCUACUCCCCUUUCAGCAAUUAAUAUUGCCUGUAUUUAAUCAGGGUAUGGUUUUUAAAUUGCUCUUAUAACCGAUUUUAGCAUUUUCCCUACUGCUGAGGUCAAGCUAAGUAGCUUGUAAUUCCCUGUGUUUUCUUUCUUGAACAGCUAGGUUAUCUUCUAAACCCUAAAACAUAGGGAAUUCUGGAAGAUCAAACCAAUGCAUCUACUAUCUCUAGCUACUUCUCUUAAAAUUCCAUGGUAUUAUUAAUCAGGUCAAAGAGAUUUGUUUGCUUUUACUCAUUAAUUUCUUCCGCACUAUUUCUUCACCAAUAUGUUCUUCACUUACAUUCGAAUCUUGGAUUCCCUUACCUUGGAUGCUUUUUGUGCUCUAUAUCGUAUUAGGGGAAAAAAAACAAGGUUUUGCUACAGUUUUACAGGGCUCUGAUGAGACCAUAGUUAGUCCUGUGCAUACAUUUGGUCUCCUUGCUUGAUAGUGCAGUAGCUUACAUUUAAUUUUAACAGCAUGGAAAAAAGCUCUAGGCCUAUCAUGUCUCCACCGGUCAAUCUAUCUGUUCAAAUUCAGUGUUCAAGCACUUUGCCCGUAGCCUUAUAUGAUGUAGCAUUUCAAGUGCUUGUUCAAAUAUCUUGAGUUUCUAUCUCUACCACACUUUUAAAGCAGUAAGUUCCAGAUACCCACCACCCUCUGCCAAAAAAAACUUUUUUCCUCAAAUCUCUGAACCUCUUACUCCUCACAUUUAACUGUGCCCACUGAUUAUUGACUCCUCUACUAAUGGAAAUAGGAUUGAUGGGGAGAAAUGAAGAAACUAUCUAUGGUUCUCAUAACUUUGUAUGAUUUAAUCAGGUUCUGUUCUCGAUGUUCUCUGCUCUAAGGAAAAAAAACCCAGUCUUACCUGGUCUCUCUCCAUAGCUGAAUCACUCUGACCCAGGUAACGUUGUGGUGAAUCUCCUCUGCACCCUCUCUAGUGUCAUCACAUCCUUCCAAUAGUGUCGUUUAAUUGAGCAUUCUUCAAGUGAGAAGGUUGACUUUUCAUGAAGUGGACAGCAUUAUCAGCAAAUCUUCAUGAAUGCAUGGUGGGUAUUACAAAACAUGGUUGUGUAUUCCCAACAAGGACCUCAUUCCGUCCCCAUUGAAUAAUAACUCUACGAGUUAGCGCUUACCUCUCUCUAACACGAUCAGGGCUGACAGUAAACUGUUUCAUGUGCAAUUGUUUUCAUAUUCACCCUGUGGGUUUUUAAAAAUUCAACCUCAGGAUGAGACUCUCAUUGACAGGGCCAACAAUUUACUGUCCUUCCCAAAAAUUGUUCUCUGCAAGUGUUGUGGCUGCUUCUUUGAAUCCUCAGCAGAUACUUGACGCAACUGAGCUGCUGACUUGACAGACCACUUUCAAGAACAGUUAAGAGGUUGUCAAAUUGCUGAAGGACUGUGAUAGGGUGAGGUGCCGUAUGUACAUCAGACCAGCGAAGGGCAGCAGGUUUCUUUGACAAAACACAUCAGUGAGUCUGCCAAGAGCCAGUGGUGAAUCCAUCAGAUAUUUAAUCCAGGCCCUAAUGUUUUUAGUCCAAGCUCUUGGAGAACACCCUUGGCUGUAUUGAGAUUGACAUCUUCCCCCACAUUGUGAUGCUCCAUUUCUUUUAGUGAAGGAUCAUUUUGCCAUUUGUCCACCAGACAUGUUCUACAUUAAACAUGUGGCUGGUGAGAGCCCUUCUGCAUGACAAUUGGAAGCAACUUCUUAUUCCCGAUGUUUCCUGUUUAUUUUGAUGCUGACCAUUCAGUCCUAUUAAUAUUUGAUGGAUUCUGGACUUUCACCUCCUUACAGAUGCUGCCUUGCCUGAUGAAAAUCUUCUGUUUUUAUUUUAAUGAUUUCUGUUCUUUUCCAGCUAAUGCAAACAGCAGUUAACCAAAUUAGAGAAUCUUACAGCACAGAAAGAAGUUCAGCCUGUCAUCCCUCUGGCAGCUGUUUGAAAGAGUUAUUUAAUUAGUCCCUCCAUGGUCCUGUAAAUGUUUACUUUUUGGGUGGCCUUUUAAUUGUGUGUACAGAGUUACAAUAAGUCCAUUAGUGUUGGUGAAUUUAGCACUAGCUCUUAACCUUUAUCUAUUUGAAAUUGAGUGAUACAAAGACCAAGCACCAACUUGUUAACCCUGCACCAGCAGUGUUUUUGACCUGGAGCAAGUAACUCUCCUUAAAUUUUUAAAGUAUAAUCCUAAUGAGAAGAAAAACAUUUUGAUACGGAACUCCAAAUGGGGAGCAGGGGCAACCCUGCUUCAUGGAAAAGUAUUUUCCAAAUAAAGGUGGUGGCCCAACCCCAGGAGCUGCCAGCCCAAUCAAAGCUUGAACUCCCUCAGCAGUGCCACCAGCAGCAGUGGCCAGUGCUGAUGCUGCAGCUGCAGUCGAGGGUGCGUCAGUGGCUUGUGUCCUCUUAAAGGAAUAAGCUAUAGGGGAAUGACAAGGAUCAAAAUGCAUGCCCUGCUGGGACAUUGCCCUUAAUUGGCUACUUAAUUGUUUCAGUUGGAUUCCUGCUGACCAGGUGAUCUGCUAAUUGCCAUACAGUUGGGAAAAUAACACAGCAGUGGGAAGAUAUUGAGUGUUUCCCCAACCCCCAUAACACCCAUCUAUACCAUUAGUCUAGCCUUCCUACCUGCCAAUACUGUUUAAUUUUCAUUAGCCACACAAUCUGAUCAUGUCACACAAUCUUCGGGUGGAGACAGGGUGUUCCACAUUAGCUUUCAUCAGGAAUAAAUGUUUUCUGUACAGCUGCCUGUGAGUCCUUUAUAAUUAUGCCUGACUAGUACUGUAGUUGUAUUAAUUGUUAUCAUGCAAUAAACUCUUGUUAAAGAAA
Molecule: RNA transcript, 9130 nt
Organism: Chiloscyllium plagiosum (whitespotted bambooshark)
Lineage: Eukaryota; Metazoa; Chordata; Chondrichthyes; Orectolobiformes; Hemiscylliidae
Gene: mfhas1
Gene name: multifunctional ROCO family signaling regulator 1
Source: RefSeq, a predicted model, not a curated record